CAUAAACAUAGGAACUGUAUUAAGGUUAUUAGCAGGUUUAGCUGUAUACACAUAUAAGCUAUACUAGCAAACUAGGACAGGUCUUUGCUGGCCAGCUACAAGCUAUAAUAAGAUUCGUUAUCUAUUAAACAAAGGUGG
Bufo bufo (common toad) is the source of this 138-nucleotide long non-coding RNA. RefSeq lists it as uncharacterized. The record is from RefSeq and is a predicted model, not a curated record. The transcript is spliced from 4 exons. NCBI's taxonomy places the organism in Eukaryota, Metazoa, Chordata, Amphibia, Anura, Bufonidae.